AACGCAUCUUGCGCCCAAGGGCAAUCCCUUGGGCACGUCUGUUUCAGUGUUAUUUUCAACCCACUCCUAAGAAUGGGUGAUGAAACGUUGUGCUUGCCACUUUCUCUUUUGAGAGUGCGUCUUGCUCUAAAUGGAUUAUCAAAAGGUCAGUUCCUCACAGAUCAGACUUUGGUAGUAUACCGAAAGUCGAGUUUGUUUGGUUUUAAUGCUGUCUUUUAACAAAUUCAAAAUUUAACCUGAAAUCAGACGGGACUACCCGCUGAACUUAA
RNAcentral lists this unclassified non-coding RNA (269 nucleotides) under uncultured fungus. RNAcentral's name for it is "partial contains 5.8S ribosomal RNA, internal transcribed spacer 2, and large subunit ribosomal RNA". Lineage: Eukaryota; Fungi. The record is from RNAcentral.